Molecule: long non-coding RNA, 501 nt
Filed under: Marmota monax (woodchuck)
Lineage: Eukaryota; Metazoa; Chordata; Mammalia; Rodentia; Sciuridae
Source: RNAcentral
CUAAUGUUGCCUCUAUGGGGUCCUCUCCUUUCUGUUCUUCCUGGAGUAGAUUUAUCCUUAUGGGCAAAACCAACUGCUAUCUGCUAAAAGUACUUCAGUGACUCCCCAUUGUUCUCAGAGUACAGAGUAGGAUCCUUUAUGAUCUUGCUGACAUUUACCUCUCUGCUUUGCCUCCUUUCCCACAACCAUGGGUUCUGCAGUUCAUGAAUGCAGACAGUUUGCAAUUCCCCAAAUGUGCGUGCUCUCUCUUGGCUCUGUGCCGGUGUACAUACCGUUCCCUUUACCUAGAAGCUUCCCUUCCACUCCCUGCUCCUAACUCCAGCUUAUUCAUGGCUCAGGUUUCAGUGUAAAUACCACAGUAUCCAGAAAAUUUUCUCUACAUCCUUGGAGCCUGGGAGCAAUGCACCUCUGGAUGCCCACAUCAUUUCCCAUGAUGGCCCCAUACCUGACACGGUGCUUACCUGUUUACAGGGAGGUCUGCAGGGUGGAUUCUGUUUUGGC